RNAcentral lists this microRNA precursor (84 nucleotides) under Bombyx mori (domestic silkworm). RNAcentral describes it as "mir-2807 microRNA precursor family". It matches the Rfam family "mir-2807 microRNA precursor family". Lineage: Eukaryota; Metazoa; Arthropoda; Insecta; Lepidoptera; Bombycidae. The record is from Rfam by way of RNAcentral.
UUAUCUCAUAUUUGUAUGGAAUAGGAUCGUUUGCCUACGUUUGCCGUUAGGGGCGCUGUUCCAACUGCAUACAAAAUUGGGUUG